CUGCAGGUACAAGUGUAGCUUCUUUCCAGCCCUGGAAGUCACAUGAUCACCAAGUAUCCUCUUCCUUAGGAGAGUCCCAGGGGCCAUACCACAGUGCAGAGGAGGGAACCAGACUGUACCUUUCUGUGGGAGAGGUGAUAAAGGACAGGACACAUUUUAACAGCUAACUGUGCCCUGCCACUCUCCCCUUGACUGACACCUGGGAAUUCAACGUACCCAGCAUCGUGUCGGGGGAGAAUGAGGGAUGCUUUAAAUACGCUUGGAAAUACUUCUUUCUUCAGAUCCCACACUUAUUCCUCUCCCUCUCCUUCUCUCCGGCCUGUCCAUCUCUGGUUCUUGGGGUGGGGGACCCUCCGGACGUCAUUCCUCACUUGAGACACGGAGCAACCUUGCUGUCGAUGUUCCUUUGCCGGCAUUCCACCACUUUGCCAUUUCCCGGGCCAAGAACCACGCUCAACCCGUCGUGGAUCAUCAUUGAUCAUCUGAGCCAACAACCAAUGACUGAGAGAAGAUGGCUGCUUGCAUCAGAAUCCUGACCUCAGCGUCUGCUCCCCGUGGGAGCCAAACUGUUUACAGCUGGAAGGUGGGGCUCCCGGUACACUUCCCACACGUCCAGAGGUGGCACCCUUCACCGCCCUGCUCCCAGGAGAAACGCUGACGUGGAAAGCCUAACACUUUUCUUAGAUCCAUUGGAGAAUCGAGGACCCAGCAAACGGUCACCCCCCAAAAUCCAGAUAAGCAGAUGAAUGUAGGGUAUCAGAACCAAAUCACUGGUAGGAACCCUUUAAUGGCGAUUUUGAUAAAUGGCACGAGGUUGAGUGUGUGAACCAGCUUGGAAAGUUGGAAACUUCUCGGGGACCAAGUCUUUGGAGGAGCCUCCCACCUGCAUGGUUCACUUCUAGGUGUCUAGCACGUUCUGAAAGAUCAAAGAAAAAUAUCCUCACGCUUCAGGAAACACAGGGAGGGAAUAACCACUUUUAAGUACACUCAGGGGGCGGGAAAUGAGAUUAGGAAAUACACCCAAAGCGUUCUCCUAACAAAGGCCUUCCCUCCAGAGGAAAGUACUCUAUCAGAGCCUUAUCUGACCCGAGGAGGGAAAUGAGGUUAAAGCCAGCGCUCCGUAGCCUUCCUGUCUCAAGUGAGGCAAGAAAAAAAAAUGGUCGAAGAAAUGAUCUUGAAGUCAUAGGCCUGGGACUCAGGCCCACUGAGAUGGCGAGACCUAAUUAUAUCACAGAGUCUUUCCCUCCCCAACCCCCAACCACCUCAUUAACAGGCUCCGGAAUAAUUCCAGCCGGUGGUGAGUGCGAGAGCCACAGACGGACUUUAUUUAAGAAGGAGUCCUUCAGGAAACCCAAACAGAGAGGGGAGGGGAGGAGAAACAAGGAGCAAGCCGUAGCCUCUGACAUCGCUGGCCCCAGCAAACAGGGGUCCCAGCCCAGUUCCUAGCCAGAGGGUCCUAAAACCUCCCACUAAAAUCCUAACUAUCUCAGUUCCUAUUACUCAAGUCACCACAACUGGAUUUCAGAAAAAAAGAAAAUAGAUUAAAACCUGCUAACAGGCAAGACAGAAAACAUAGUCUGCGGAGAAAACUGCAACCAGGCCCAGACUUGGGGGGUGGGGGGAGCUGUCCUGAAGCUUGGGUCAAAGUAAAUUAUGUCUGUGUUUUAA
Marmota flaviventris (yellow-bellied marmot) is the source of this 1668-nucleotide long non-coding RNA. RefSeq lists it as uncharacterized. The record is from RefSeq and is a predicted model, not a curated record. NCBI's taxonomy places the organism in Eukaryota, Metazoa, Chordata, Mammalia, Rodentia, Sciuridae.